Molecule: ribosomal RNA, 492 nt
Filed under: uncultured bacterium
Lineage: Bacteria
Description: partial 16S ribosomal RNA
Rfam family: Bacterial small subunit ribosomal RNA
Source: RNAcentral
AGUGAACGCUGGCGGUAGGCCUAACACAUGCAAGUCGAACGGCAGCACAGUAAGAGCUUGCUCUUACGGGUGGCGAGUGGCGGACGGGUGAGGAAUACUUCGGAAUCUACUUUUUCGUGGGGGAUAACGUAGGGAAACUUACGCUAAUACCGCAUACGACCUACGGGUGAAAGCAGGGGAUCUUCGGACCUUGCGCGAUUGAAUGAGCCGAUGUCGGAUUAGCUAGUUGGCGGGGUGAAGGCCCACCAAGGCGACGAUCCGUAGCUGGUCUGAGAGGAUGAUCAGCCACACUGGAACUGAGACACGGUCCAGACUCCUACGGGAGGCAGCAGUGGGGAAUAUUGGACAAUGGGCGCAAGCCUGAUCCAGCCAUACCGCGUGGGUGAAGAAGGCCUUCGGGUUGUAAAGCCCUUUUGUUGGGAAAGAAAAGCAGCAGGUUAAUACCCCGCUGUUCUGACGGUACCCAAAGAAUAAGCACCGGCUAACUUCGUG